This 492-nucleotide ribosomal RNA is filed under the name uncultured bacterium. Its description in RNAcentral is "partial 16S ribosomal RNA". It matches the Rfam family "Bacterial small subunit ribosomal RNA", at positions 29 to 507 of the family's 1533-position model. The record is from RNAcentral.
AGUGAACGCUGGCGGUAGGCCUAACACAUGCAAGUCGAACGGCAGCACAGUAAGAGCUUGCUCUUACGGGUGGCGAGUGGCGGACGGGUGAGGAAUACAUCGGAAUCUACUUUUUCGUGGGGGAUAACGUAGGGAAACUUGCGCUAAUACCGCAUACGACCUACGGGUGAAAGCAGGGGAUCUUCGGACCUUGCGCGAGUGAAUGAGCCGAUGUCGGAUUAGCUAGUUGGCGGGGUAAAGGCCCACCAAGGCGACGAUCCGUAGCUGGUCUGAGAGGGUGAUUAGCCACACUGGAACUGAGACACGGUCCAGACUCCUACGGGAGGCAGCAGUGGGGAAUAUUGGACAAUGGGCGCAAGCCUGAUCCAGCCAUACCGCGUGGGUGAAGAAGGCCUUCGGGUUGUAAAGCCCUUUUGUUGGGAAAGAAAAGCAGCAGGUUAAUACCCCGCUGUUCUGACGGUACCCAAAGAAUAAGCACCGGCUAACUUCGUG